AAUUUCACACCUGGAUGUGCUCACUCAACCAAGAAUAUAGAGAAAGAGCUUCUGCCCUGAGACUCAGAAAAAUGUUGCGCGCCGCUCUGCGCGGUGCGGGUUUGUAGCCCCCGAGCCUGGCCGCGCCUCGCUGGGU
Unclassified non-coding RNA from Nothoprocta perdicaria, 136 nucleotides. The record is from Ensembl. Lineage: Eukaryota; Metazoa; Chordata; Aves; Tinamiformes; Tinamidae.